Molecule: long non-coding RNA, 1439 nt
Organism: Neopelma chrysocephalum (saffron-crested tyrant-manakin)
Lineage: Eukaryota; Metazoa; Chordata; Aves; Passeriformes; Pipridae
Exons: 2
Source: RefSeq, a predicted model, not a curated record
UCACCAGAUGUCACAUGUCACCGGAUUUACACUUAAAUUCAAGGUAUAUUAUUACAAAUGGGUAUUUCCAGAGAUGUAAGGUGUACCUUCAAAACACCAAGCCCUGUUCUCACAACCACCUCACUUACACUCUGACUUGGGAAGUAACUGCAAUACACACGUUUUGUUGAUUACUCAUUGGAGCAUGUCAAAAGAGCCAACAUGAUGGUUAUGAUGUAGCUGAUCAUUAGCCGUAUUACAGAUUACAUUUUCUAGCCCUUAGCCUUAAAAUCGUUGGGUGUCCAUUAAGUAUUUGUUUAUUCUGAACAUUACAAAAAUGUAUGCAGCGGUUUAAGGCACAUUUCCAAGACUUCAAUGUUGCCUAGCAUGUGGAAAGUUUAAGUAAUGCACAGUUCUGAAAAUUCUGCCCAAAACAUCACCUGAAUUGUCAAAACCAGCAGUUAACACAGCCUGCUCUCUUCUAGUUUACAUAAUUGAACAAAACUUAUUUGUUCCAAAGUCACUGUAGAAACAUCAGCCUGUUGGAAGACAUGGAAUACAAACACUGACUUUUUCCUCCUAGUUGCCUAAUAAAUUCCCACUAAUGGCCUGCAGAUUAGUAUGUGAUUGCCAUGCUUGCUUUCUAAUCUUUUUAUAGGUCUCUAGACAGCUGUGACAUAAAGAAGAAAUAUCCUGCAUGGAUUUUUUAAGAAUAAACAGUCUCUACUGACUUUAAAGGGGAAUGCUUAUGAUUCUCUAAUUAUUGCAAUCAGACCCCCAUCCUAUCUCCAGCAUCCCCACCUUCUGUGUGGAAGACACACAGGAAUGUGUCUUAAGCUGCUGUGAGGUACCUAAGAGGGCGCAGUGUUACAUAAAUUCCAUUUUCAUACUAAAUUAUGGCAGAAUUCAUGUACAGUCAAACCACCAUGGCAUGCCAGUACAGCCCAGUCCAAUUCUCCUUGUAGAGCAGCAUCCCUUUCCUCCCAGCCAGGGAGCAACAGUGUUCUUGGAUGUUACAAUGAAGCAGUUUCACCUGCUCCACGGACUGGUGUGGACUGGGGUCGUUGAAGGAUUUUGACCACUUUUUUGGUGGAUAGAGAGGUGCAAGGGGACACUCCUGGGCCAUGGUGAGCAGCCGGGCUGCACCCUUCUGCCAGGUACGCUCCUGAGCUGAGCCAUUUUGGCCAGGAUGGAUUUGGAGAACCCGGGAAGUGAUGGCUGCUUGUUCCGAGUGAUCCACUACGUGGAAGGCGCUGGAUGAACAAACUGCUGCGAGCAAUCCCUUCCACCUCGACCAGCUGCAAGAUAUGCCUCCAACUUCUCUCCUUCCCCCUCCUUUUUUUUUCUGCCCAUUUCCCUCCCCCCUUUAUGUUUUUUUCUUCAAUUUUUUUUUAAGUUUUUUAUUGUUGUUGUUUGGUUGUUUUUUUAAGCUCAACUAUGUAAAGGCCUGUUAUACUUCA